This 477-nucleotide ribosomal RNA is filed under the name uncultured delta proteobacterium. RNAcentral describes it as "bacterial SSU rRNA". It matches the Rfam family "Bacterial small subunit ribosomal RNA", at positions 36 to 489 of the family's 1533-position model. Lineage: Bacteria; Deltaproteobacteria. The record is from RNAcentral.
CUGGCGGCGUGCUUAACACAUGCAAGUCGAACGCGAAAGGGACUUCGGUCCCGAGUAGAGUGGCGCACGGGUGAGUAACGCGUAAGUAAUCUACCCCUGUAUCUGGAAUAACCCACCGAAAGGUGAGCUAAUACCGGAUACGUUUAUCUUGAUGCGAAUGAUGAUAAAGAAAGGUGGCCUCUUCAUGAAAGCUACCGUACAGGGACGAGCUUGCGUACCAUUAGCUGGUUGGUAGGGUAAUGGCCUACCAAGGCGACGAUGGUUAGCGGGUCUGAGAGGAUGAUCCGCCACACUGGAACUGAAACACGGACCAGACUCCUACGGGAGGCAGCAGUGAGGAAUGUUGCGCACUGGGGGCAACCCUGACGCAGCGACGCCGCGUGGACGAUGAAGGCCCUUGGGUCGUAAAAUCCUGUCAGAUGGAAAGAAAUGUACAGGUGUUAAUAUCGCCUGUAUUUGACGGUACCAUCAAAGGAA